CAUCAACUUUUGGAUUAUGAGGUACAGCAGCAGUUGGCAGCCCAACUUGAAGACUGGAAGUCUUUACUGCUUCGUCAUUGAAAGAAUAAGAGGCAAAUCGUGAAGAUGUAAACCAGUGAUGCUGGAAAGGAGAUGCUCUUCAGGACCACUCUUCUGAAGACCUCUAUUGGACACUUUGUUGCUUAAGAUAUCCCUGCUUCCAGUUGAGAACCCCGAACCUGUGUCCAGGCUGGACCCCGGCAAUGUGCUAUGGCACAGAGGUCAAUUUUAUGUACUUGGCUUUCCCCUUCACCUUUAUGUGUAUCGCAGGCAUGGACUCAGGUGGUCAGGCUUGCGGAGCAGUCAGUGCUUGCAACCAUGGAGCAUCUCAUCCACCCAACUGACUUCUGUUAGUGACUGUCUUAUACUUUAAACGCAAAUGAAUCCAUAAUUAUAUGCCCAAACUAUGCUCAUGAAUACACACACCACAUGUGAAAUAUGAAAGAAAGAUAAUGAGAAAGCGAUGAAUGAGCUCG
This 515-nucleotide small RNA is filed under the name Rattus norvegicus (Norway rat). RNAcentral's name for it is "uncharacterized LOC102547959". Lineage: Eukaryota; Metazoa; Chordata; Mammalia; Rodentia; Muridae. The record is from RNAcentral.